This 546-nucleotide ribosomal RNA is filed under the name uncultured bacterium. Its description in RNAcentral is "partial 16S ribosomal RNA". It matches the Rfam family "Bacterial small subunit ribosomal RNA", at positions 355 to 914 of the family's 1533-position model. The record is from RNAcentral.
UGGGGAAUAUUGCACAAUGGGCGAAAGCCUGAUGCAGCAACGCCGCGUGAGUGAUGAAGGUCUUCGGAUUGUAAAGCUCUGUCUUUUGGGACGAUAAUGACGGUACCAAAGGAGGAAGCCACGGCUAACUACGUGCCAGCAGCCGCGGUAAUACGUAGGUGGCGAGCGUUGUCCGGAUUUACUGGGCGUAAAGGGUGCGUAGGCGGAUGUUUAAGUGAGAUGUGAAAUACCCCGGGCUUAACUUGGGUGCUGCAUUUCAAACUGGAUAUCUAGAGUGCAGGAGAGGAGAAUGGAAUUCCUAGUGUAGCGGUGAAAUGCGUAGAGAUUAGGAAGAACACCAGUGGCGAAGGCGAUUCUCUGGACUGUAACUGACGCUGAGGCACGAAAGCGUGGGUAGCAAACAGGAUUAGAUACCCUGGUAGUCCACGCCGUAAACGAUGAGUACUAGGUGUAGGAGGUAUCGACCCCUUCUGUGCCGCAGUAAACACAUUAAGUACUCCGCCUGGGAAGUACGAUCGCAAGAUUAAAACUCUAAAGUGAAUUGAC